RNAcentral lists this ribosomal RNA (119 nucleotides) under Holosporales bacterium. RNAcentral's name for it is "partial 16S ribosomal RNA". It matches the Rfam family "Bacterial small subunit ribosomal RNA", at positions 1 to 117 of the family's 1533-position model. Lineage: Bacteria; Pseudomonadati; Pseudomonadota; Alphaproteobacteria; Holosporales. The record is from RNAcentral.
UUAAACAUGAGAGUUUGAUCCUGGCUCAGAACGAACGCUUGCGGCGUGCUUAACACAUGCAAGUCGAACGAGAAAGCCCCUUCGGGGGUGAGUAAAGUGGCGCACGGGUGAGUAACGCG